GGAACUCGUGAGACCAGGGUGCUGGCCAUUGCUUUGUCAGGUUGAAAGUCUGAAAAAAUGGUUAAGUCCCCGUCAACGGCGGCAACCCCCUGAUCCCUUUGGUUAGCCCAGCAGCGUUUCGUGCCUGGGCACUCUAAGGAGACUGUCCGGUGAUAACUCGGAGGAAGGUGGGGAUGACGUCAAGUCAUCAUGGCCCUUACGGCCUGGGCUACACACGUGCUACAAUGGUGCGUACAAAGAGUAAAUUCCUCGCGGGAGCGAGCUAUCCUCAUAAGUGCGUUCGUAGUCCGGAUUCGUUACUGCAAGGGCGACUUACGUGAAAGGUCAGCAUAAGUCGGUCAUGGUAGAUCAGACGUACGCCGUGAUGA
RNAcentral lists this ribosomal RNA (368 nucleotides) under uncultured bacterium. Its description in RNAcentral is "partial 16S ribosomal RNA". It matches the Rfam family "Bacterial small subunit ribosomal RNA", at positions 1020 to 1365 of the family's 1533-position model. The record is from RNAcentral.